GGACCCGCACAAGUAGUGGAGCAUGUGGUUUAAUUCGAAGAUACGCGCAGAACCUUACCAACACUUGACAUGUUCGUCGCGACUCUAAGAGAUUAGAGUUUUCGGUUCGGCCGGACGAAACACAGGUGCUGCAUGGCUGUCGUCAGCUCGUGUCGUGAGAUGUUGGGUUAAGUCCCGCAACGAGCGCAACCCUCACUUUUAGUUGCCAUCAUUAAGUUGGGCACUCUGAAAGAACUGCCAGUGAUAAGCUGGAGGAAGGUGGGGAUGACGUCAAGUCCUCAUGGCCCUUACGUGUUGGGCUACACACGUGCUACAAUGGUAUCUACAACAGGAAGCAAGACUGCGAGGUCAAGCAAAUCCUUAAAAGAUACCUCAGUUCGGAUUGUUCUCUGCAACUCGAGAGCAUGAAGGUGGAAUCGCUAGUAAUCG
This 429-nucleotide ribosomal RNA is filed under the name uncultured bacterium. Its description in RNAcentral is "bacterial SSU rRNA". It matches the Rfam family "Bacterial small subunit ribosomal RNA", at positions 917 to 1344 of the family's 1533-position model. The record is from RNAcentral.